UACGUAGGUGGCGAGCGUUGUCCGGAUUUACUGGGCGUAAAGGGCGCGCAGGCGGUCGUGCAAGUCGCGUGUGAAAGCCCCCGGCUCAACUGGGGAGGGUCACGCGAUACUGCUCGACUUGAAGGCAGGAGAGGGAAGUGGAAUUCCAGGUGUAGCGGUGAAAUGCGUAGAUAUCUGGAGGAAUACCGGUGGCGAAGGCGGCAUCCUGGACCGAGAUUGACGCUGAUGCGCGAAAGCCAGGGGAGCAAACGGG
This 253-nucleotide ribosomal RNA is filed under the name uncultured bacterium. Its description in RNAcentral is "partial 16S ribosomal RNA". It matches the Rfam family "Bacterial small subunit ribosomal RNA", at positions 524 to 776 of the family's 1533-position model. The record is from RNAcentral.